AUGCUUACUUUGGCAGCACACAUACUAAAAUUGGAAGGACACAGAGAUUAGCAUGGCCCCUGCGCAAGGAUGACAUGAAAAUUCGUGAAGCAUUCCGUAUGAAA
Molecule: small nuclear RNA, 104 nt
Organism: Lemur catta (Ring-tailed lemur)
Lineage: Eukaryota; Metazoa; Chordata; Mammalia; Primates; Lemuridae
Source: RefSeq, a predicted model, not a curated record